Brassica napus (rape) is the source of this 1980-nucleotide long non-coding RNA. RefSeq lists it as uncharacterized. The transcript is spliced from 2 exons. NCBI's taxonomy places the organism in Eukaryota, Viridiplantae, Streptophyta, Magnoliopsida, Brassicales, Brassicaceae. The record is from RefSeq and is a predicted model, not a curated record.
UUGUUAGUUAUUAGGUGUAAUUUUCCUAAAUUGAUUUGAAUUGUUACAAACAAAAAAAAAUUGAUUUGAAUUUCAGUAACAAAAAAAAAUAAUACCAAACAAAUAAUACAAUAGCUGAAAAGAUCCAAAUAUUUAAUAGAAAAGAUUUGAACUAUAAUGAUGUAAGAAAUACUUUCCUAAUUUUAUAAUCUGGCACAUUCCAGAAAACAAAUAAUACAAUAGCGGAAAAUCUUGCGUGAAGUGUUCAAAAUUUUAUUUCUACUAUAAUUUAUUAAUUUAUGUUGAUUCAGCACUACUGAUUUGAUUUGAUCAGUGACUAGUUAAAAAUAGCAGAGCUUUUUUUUGUUGAAAAAGAUAUGUGGCUAGAGACAAAUGAAUAAAUGACAUGAAACGUACCAUAAAUUUAUAAAAGGUUACUGACAAAGAAACUUAUGCACAAACCUCAUGUAUUCAUUUGAGAAGGUUGUUAACCACAUUUCUUUCCGAUAAAAAAGAAAUGUUUUCACCGCUUUACCAACAACCUAAUCAUUGUAAAUAUGCAUGUUUUAACCGGUAAAGAGCGGAAUGAUACAUCAUGCAUAUUGUUUUGAGCAUAACAAAUGCUUGUGGAACCAAUUAAUCAAAAUAUUUAACAACAAAAUAUAUUAAUCAAUUAUUUUAUGAUAUAAGUGAAAAUCGUCAAACAACUAUUUUUAUGAGACCCAAAAUUCUAGCAAAAAAAAAAACCUAUCUGCAUGAGAAAUGCUCGUGGAAACCGAACCGGUCCUAUGACAAUAUAGUACAUUUUAUCUUAAAACCUUUUAACAGUUUUGUUUCAUGGAAAACUUCAGCUAGACUUUUGUUUAGAUAUUUUGCUAGAAUUAGGUGAACCUUGUAGCGUAUUUGUAAAGGAACAUGACUUCUAUAACGUGAGGGGUAUCAAGACAAACUUUUUACCAAUAGUAACUUACUAGCUAUGGUUUUUUAUUUUUUCUUAUUAAAUCUAAAAGAGCGUAUGUAAUGAUUUAGCUUUCUCUUAACGACUUAUAUAAAUCAGAACAACUAAUAAUCAUAAUUCUUAGUAGUGGUUCAAUGAAAGCUAUUGGGGCAACUAAACUCGUAUAUUUCUUUUGUUUAGUACAGGCAGGCCUAUUUAAUUCGAGAUUAUUACAGUAAAUCACAAACACACAAACAGACACACACAUGUAUGUAUACAAAAAUUUUGUGUUCUGUUCUCAUAUGGAACUUUGUAUUAUAUAUAAAUUUAAAAUUUAACUCAACCAACUUCCUUUUUUGUUGUGGGGGUUGUUGGCCUAAUUCAAUGCUUGUUUUCUUUUUGGCCUUUCUUCUUCACCUCUUCGUAUUUAUAUCUUCUUUCUCUCUGCAGACCAAGAAAAAACAUUGAAAUGUUUCGUAUUGUCUUUUUUCUUUUUCAUAUGUGCCAAGUAAAAAACCCGGCUUAACGGUGAGUACCAUGUUCUCUCUUCACGUACAAUUCAAUUCUAUUUUCAGUCAUUUGCCUUCUUUGAUUCUUUUAUUUUUUAUUUUUGAUGUUGAGUAUGGGAUAAUAAGCAACGGAUCGGCGAGAACGUAUGAAUAUCUUACUAACGUAAAGACAAUACGAGAUAUUGGUGCGGUUCAAUCAGAAAUCCACACUCUUUUGUUGUAGAGAUCGGUUUGUUUGAUUGAGCCGUGCCAAUAUCACGAGUGUAAUUGGCCUCCACCAUGCUAGCUGGUGUUCAUCAAGGUUCUGGAGUUCGGAUAACACAAGAAUGAGCGUAAUCCUUGAAUAUAGACAUCGAUAUACCUAAUCUGCAAGGCCGCAAAUACUAUGAAACUCAAAUAAAAAUGUUAUUAAGGGGAAUUCUUUUCCUUUUUUCUUAUAUUGAAUAUUUUUACUCUAUUAUUAUAGUGACGACUCAUUAAACAAAGAUGUCCGACUAAUGAGAUUGCGUUAUUUGUAUCUGUCUGCACUUUUAGUUCAAGUGUUUCCUUAUUCUA